GGUCAAGCUAAUAAGGGCUUGUGGU
This 25-nucleotide ribosomal RNA is filed under the name Chlorogloeopsis fritschii. RNAcentral describes it as "partial 23S ribosomal RNA". The record is from RNAcentral. Lineage: Bacteria; Bacillati; Cyanobacteriota; Cyanophyceae; Nostocales; Chlorogloeopsidaceae.